CCCUGCGCAGGGUUGAGUCACAAUGUCCAGGUCACCGCCCUACCCCACACGGAUUGGAGUCACCCAGCCUAGAGGCCUCAGGGUUUGAAAGGACCCCAUGCCAGUGAGGUACAUCCAGCUGACUCAGGCUGCCCAGCUACCGAGUACACUCUUCAGCCCUCCCAGAAAGCAGUAGUCACUACAGCUUGGACAGAUGAUGGUUGGCAAUUACUGCUCCUUCGUGUGGAUCUUAUUGCCCCUCCUUUUGACCCUGAGGGAAUUCAAGCCUGGUGACCUUGCCUUAGCCAGAGCAUUACUAUUGCAUGGGUAUAUAACUGUAAACCUCAGAGACUUGGAAGGAUGAGACAGAAGAGAAAAGAUA
Molecule: non-coding RNA, 361 nt
Organism: Peromyscus maniculatus bairdii (prairie deer mouse)
Lineage: Eukaryota; Metazoa; Chordata; Mammalia; Rodentia; Cricetidae
Source: RefSeq, a predicted model, not a curated record